RNAcentral lists this ribosomal RNA (457 nucleotides) under uncultured bacterium. RNAcentral describes it as "bacterial SSU rRNA". It matches the Rfam family "Bacterial small subunit ribosomal RNA", at positions 43 to 507 of the family's 1533-position model. The record is from RNAcentral.
CAGGCCUAACACAUGCAAGUCGAACGGUAGUAGCAAUACUAUAGUGGCAAACGGGUGCGUAACGCGUAAGCAACCUGCCCUCAACUGGGGGAUAGCCCGGCGAAAGCUGGGGUAAACCCGCACGGUCCCAAGAGAUCACCUGGUUUAUUGGGUAAACAUUCAUGGGUUGAGGAGGGGCUUGCGUCUGAUUAGCUAGUUGGCAGGGUAACGGCCUACCAAGGCGAUGAUCAGUAGGGGUUCUGAGAGGAUUGGCCCCCACAUGGGUACUGAGAUACGGACCCAACUCCUACGGGAGGCAGCAGUAGGGAAUAUUGGGCAAUGGAGGCAACUCUGACCCAGCCAUGCCGCGUGCCGGAUGAAGGCGCUCAGCGUUGUAAACGGCUUUUACUCAUGAAGAACGGUGGGGAUGCGUCCUUACUUAACGGUAUGGAGGGAAUAAGCACCGUCUAUCAUGGUG